GCUUUCCGGAUGAUUACUUUGAGAAAAUUAGAGUGCUCAAAGCAGGCUUUUGCCUUGAAUAGUUUAGCAUGGAAUAAUAAAGUAGGACUUUGGUUCUAUUUUGUUGGUUUUAGGUACCAAAGUAAUGGUUAAUAGGAACAGUUGGGGGCAUUCGUAUUUAACUGUCAGAGGUGAAAUUCUUAGAUUUGUUAAAGACGAACUACUGCGAAAGCAUUUGCCAAGGAUG
This 226-nucleotide ribosomal RNA is filed under the name Theileria sinensis. RNAcentral describes it as "partial 18S ribosomal RNA". It matches the Rfam family "Eukaryotic small subunit ribosomal RNA", at positions 739 to 966 of the family's 1831-position model. The record is from RNAcentral. Lineage: Eukaryota; Apicomplexa; Aconoidasida; Piroplasmida; Theileriidae.